Molecule: long non-coding RNA, 1034 nt
Organism: Bufo bufo (common toad)
Lineage: Eukaryota; Metazoa; Chordata; Amphibia; Anura; Bufonidae
Exons: 2
Source: RefSeq, a predicted model, not a curated record
UAUACGGAAACUUUAUGCACACGGAGUAACUUCAUUUUUUUUUUUUUUUUUUGCGGAGCCAUUGAAAUGAAUGGUUCCGUAUACGGUCCGCAAAAAAUACGGAAGGGACACGGAAUGAAGAUAUGUUAGUGUGCGCGAGCCCUAAACCUAAUGAUAUCAUCUGCCUUUUUUAAAGAAAAAAAUUCACUUUCAUUACCAUGGUGCUGCUUUUAUGGGAGAAUUUUAAUCUUCAUUUUACUCAACAGUUUAUUAGAAUGUUUAGGUUUUUGGAUUUUUUUUCUUCAAAUAUUCAUAUUUUUUUCUUCACUUUUUUUCAAACUUUUUUUUAAUUUGUUUUUCACGUUUUUUUUCUUUUUCUUUUUUCGAAUCUUCCUAAUGUAUAGAUCACCCAAGACAGGUGUGCUUUAAUGCGCAGCCGCACUGAGAUGUAUGAAUUGUUUGUUUCAAGCGACAAAUAUUGCUAAAAAGUUAAUUGUUCUCUUUCACUGUGUUUUCUCUCUACUCUGGAUAUAUACUGGACAAAACUGAACGUGUGAAAAAAAUCCAUCUUUUUCCUAGUUGCAAAAUCGAUGUGACUCCUGUGUUUUCUGUCGGAUGCCUUUUACAUCGAUUUAUCUUGUGUGUGUUUUUUUUUUUUUUUUUAAGUUUUUUCAUUUUUUUGUUUUACAACAGUAGGAACGAGAGUCUGUGAACGAUGCUCCACAUAACGUUUUCUAAAUGAUAAAAUGUAUACAGAAAUGUCUAUAUAAAAUAUAUCUAUAUGUAUGCAAAGUGCAGAAAUAUUUUUUAAAAAAUGCAGUCUCCUGCUAUAUGCACCUUUUACCCCUCCCCCUGCAAAUGCCGCUAUAUACCUGCUUCAGCGUAAACAAUGAGCCAUUUUGAGAACCUGUCCUGUGGAAAUAUACCGUAUAUAUACGCUACCCUGGAAAUUGCUGAUAGUUGUAUUGCUAAUUCAUGUCCGAUCACAAAUAAACAGUAUUUUAAGUAGAUACAUUUUUGUAAUUUCACCUUUUUAAUAAAGAGGAGUUAAUCUU